GACGAACGCUGGCGGCGUGCUUAACACAUGCAAGUCGAACGGUGAUCUUGAGAGCUUGCUCUUGGGUGAUCAGUGGCGAACGGGUGAGUAACACGUGAGUAACCUGCCCCAGACUCUGGAAUAACCCCGGGAAACCGGAGCUAAUACCGGAUACGAAGUAGAGUCGCAUGGCUGCUACUUGGAAAGUUUUUUCGGUCUGGGAUGGACUCGCGGCCUAUCAGCUUGUUGGUGAGGUAACGGCUCACCAAGGCGACGACGGGUAGCCGGCCUGAGAGGGCGACCGGCCACACUGGGACUGAGACACGGCCCAGACUCCUACGGGUGGCAG
Molecule: ribosomal RNA, 328 nt
Filed under: uncultured Actinomycetes bacterium
Lineage: Bacteria; Bacillati; Actinomycetota; Actinomycetes
Description: bacterial SSU rRNA
Rfam family: Bacterial small subunit ribosomal RNA
Source: RNAcentral